AUGAACGCUGGCGGCGUGCCUAAUACAUGCAAGUCGAGCGAACAGACGAUGAUCUUGCUCCUCUGACGUUAGCGGCGGUCGGGUUAUUAACACGUUGAUAACCUACCUAUCAGACUUUGAUUACUUCGGGAAACCGUUGCUAAUACCUGAUAAUAUAUUUAACCUCCUUUUUCAAUAGUUAAACACGGUUUUUCUUUCACUUUUACAUUUAUCCGCGCCGCAUUAGCUAGUUGGUAAGUUAACGUCUUACCAAGGCAACGAUUCGUAGCCGACCUGAGAGGGUGAUCGGCCAAACGGGAACUGAGACACGGUAAAGACACCUACGGGAGGAAGCAGAAGGGAAUAUUCCGCAAUGGGCGAAAGCCUGACGGAGCAACGCAGCGUGAGAGAUGAAGGUCUACGGAUCGUAAAACUCUGUUAUUAGGGAAGAAAAAAAGUGUAAGUAACUAUGCACGUAUUGACGGUACCUAAACAGAAAGCAACGGCUAACUACGUG
This 496-nucleotide ribosomal RNA is filed under the name uncultured bacterium. Its description in RNAcentral is "partial 16S ribosomal RNA". It matches the Rfam family "Bacterial small subunit ribosomal RNA", at positions 29 to 507 of the family's 1533-position model. The record is from RNAcentral.